AAGGUGUUGGAUAUAAUAUAUAGCAUGUUUCUAUAAUAUAAUACGUAGAAAUAGGUAUUCUCAUAGGAUAUGAACUUUAAAAUGAUUUAUUAAGAUACCCGUGAGUUAGUUAAAUUAUUGUACAUAACCUUCUGCUCUGAAUACUAUAUUAUAGGUAUACGAACGGUGUAUAAUAUUUAAUUUAUAAUUUAUCACAUCUGCUGUACUAUGACGUUUGCGGAAAAUUUAUACUCGAAUAAUA
Cinara cedri is the source of this 241-nucleotide non-coding RNA. The record is from the annotation of a GenBank genome assembly. NCBI's taxonomy places the organism in Eukaryota, Metazoa, Arthropoda, Insecta, Hemiptera, Aphididae.